Molecule: ribosomal RNA, 502 nt
Filed under: Corethromyces bicolor
Lineage: Eukaryota; Fungi; Ascomycota; Laboulbeniomycetes; Laboulbeniales; Laboulbeniaceae
Description: partial 18S ribosomal RNA
Rfam family: Eukaryotic small subunit ribosomal RNA
Source: RNAcentral
AGUAAACUCGACGCAAGUAGAGAGGUAUUUAUUAGAUAUCAAACAAGUUUAGGGUAGUGUCCUCACAGACGGGUAACGGGGAAUAAGGGUUCGAUUCCGGAGAGGGGGCGACCUCCAAGGAAGGCAGCAGGCGCGCAAAUUACCCAAUCCCGACAUGGGGAGUAGUGACAAGAAAUAACGAUACAGGGUCCUUACGGAUCUUGUGAUUGGAAUGAGUACAAUUUAAACCCAUUAAAGCGUAUAUUAAAGUUGUUGCAGUUAAAACGCUCGUAGUCGAACUUCGGGCCUGGUCGGCCGGUCCGCCUCCUCGGUAUGUACUGGCUCCAUCGGGGUCUUUCCCCCUGGAUAAGCUCCUGUCUCCUAUAGUGUGUGUUGGGGAACCGAGACUUACACUGAGAAAAUUAGAGUGUUCAAACGCGGCCUGCUCGCUUUACCCUGGAGAAUUGGUUUCCGAACCACCGUAAAAUGAAAGCAUUUGCCACGGAUUUUUCAGAAAGGGGAU